This 443-nucleotide ribosomal RNA is filed under the name uncultured bacterium. RNAcentral describes it as "partial 16S ribosomal RNA". It matches the Rfam family "Bacterial small subunit ribosomal RNA", at positions 338 to 795 of the family's 1533-position model. The record is from RNAcentral.
CCUACGGGAGGCAGCAGUGGGGAAUAUUGGGCAAUGGGCGCAAGCCUGACCCAGCAACGCCGCGUGAAGGACGAAGGCUCUCGGGUUGUAAACUUCUUUUCUCAGGGACGAAGAAAGCGACGGUACCUGAGGAAUAAGCCACGGCGAACUAUGUGCCAGAAGCCGCGGGAAUACGUAGGUGGCAAGAGUUAUCCGGAUUCAUGGGGUGUAAAGGGCGUGUAGGCGGGAGCGUAAGUCAGAUGUGAAAACUCAGGGCUCAACCCUGGGCCUGCAUUUGAAACUGGGUUUCUUGAGUGCUGGGGAGGCAGGCGGAAUUCGGGGUGUAGCGGUGAAAUGCGUAGAUAUACGGAGGAACACCGGUGGCGAAGGCAGAUUGCUGGAGAGUAACUGACGCUGAGGCGCGAAGGCGUGGGGAGCGAACAGGAUUAGAUACCCUUGUAGUC